Molecule: long non-coding RNA, 1969 nt
Organism: Crotalus tigris (Tiger rattlesnake)
Lineage: Eukaryota; Metazoa; Chordata; Lepidosauria; Squamata; Viperidae
Exons: 2
Source: RefSeq, a predicted model, not a curated record
AAGAUGACUAUAUUCACAUGGCAUCCCAAAUUAAAUUCUCAUUAGGUCCACAUCAUCUGAACCUGGACUGUAGACCAAAUAAUGGUUACCAUGGAAUAAUUUAUUUAUAGUUGGAAUCAAGGUUUGUAAAAGGUAUCCAUAAGAAGCCACAAUGAGAGAAAUGAUACAAUGAUAUAUGCAAGGACAUCCCUUCCCCUCUUCUCUAUGGAUGCCAUUGUAUCGUGUAAACGCAGCUGUUUUUUUGUUAAGAUUUCUGAGCAUACAAAGUGCCUAUUUCAUUGUUCUGGUGUUUGGAAAUGUACUUAUUUCUACUCAGCAACAAAACUUUAUGAUAUUCUUUGGAUUUGUAUUAAAGGAUGCAGAAAGAUGAUGCUAGAGAGAGAGAGAGCUACAAAUCAUCUUCCAUAUUAUUUACACCAUUCUGCAUCUGAAUUUCAAGUUAUGUGUUGAGGAAAGGACAAUGAAAAGGAAAUCUGGCAGAUAGCAAGACUGAUGAAAUUCUUGGGCUCCCUUGGAUUUUUCUAAGAAUUUGCCAAAGAGUCAUCAAUAUUUGACUCAGUUGGAUCAAGAUGGAUAUAUUUUGUCUUUUGUUAUUUAACUAUUGAUCAAAUUUGAAUAUACAUUUUUAGAUAAAUUAUAGUUUCCAUUCCUUUUUAUUGAAUGUUCUUUUGUGUUAGAUUCUUUUGCUUUUGCUAUCAAAACCCUGUAUACAGUAAAAAUGUACAAAUUAUAUGUAUGUGAAUAUAUGCACUUUUUAAAGAAUCACAUAUAGUUUAAUCUCAUAAAUUUCUCAGUGACCCAAAGCACCACUAAAAUCUUUAGGUAAUUAAAAUCGAUAUGAAUGCAAGCAAGGGUUAAUUAAAAGUUAUUCUGCCACACAGGCUUUUGUGAAGAAAAUAUCUGGUUGCUCAGGAGCUUAAGAUAAUCAUAGCUCAAAUUAGGAACAACUGCUUUCUGAGAAUAAUUAUAAGAUUUAUGGCCAACGUACAGGUCCACAAUAAUGGAUAAUAGCAUUAAUAAGGUAUUUAUUAUUUCUGUGUAUCAUUAAAUUAUGUGGUGACAGUUUGUCCCUAGAACUUCACUUUCCUUAAACACAGCACCCAUCAAAUCUUCCAUCCUGAAAUAGGCAGUGACAUCAACUAGAUUUUGGAGUGACUCAUUGGCCCUAAGCUCCUAGCUCAACAGCAAUAGCUCUUAGACCUAUAUACACAGUUCUAUAGUGCUUCACAGCACUCUCUGAGUAGUUUACAAAUGUCCGCAUAUUGCCCCCAACAUUCUGGCUUCUCAUAUUACCAACCUCGAAAGGAUGGAAGGCUGAGUCAACCUUGACUGGUGUGGAUCGAACUCCUGGCAGUAGGCAGAAUUAUCCUGCAAUACUGCAUUCUAACCACUGUGCUAGCACAGCUCUUAAAGUUCAAAAGCCCUUUCUCUUUUCAUCUGCUGAAAUGAAGAGUGUUGUACCCUACAAUUGUGGGGGGUAGCAGAUUGGAGUGGUUAGGUUGGUGCCUCAUCAGUAUGAUAACACGAUUUUAACAAUUGUACAGAUGCCUGUUGCCAGUUGUUCUGGUUCCCUGGUUUCAGAAUACAUUUUCCAACUUCAGGAUUUUAGUCUUUUGGAACAGAUGUCCUUUUUGUUUAUUUUCCUGAACUCUACAAAACAUUUCUGUUUCUUAUGCUAAUUGAUAUUCAAUUUACUAAAUUGAAUAAAAAUGUAGUCAUGUACAGGGUUAUCAAAACAGUUCCUAACUAUGGAACCAGGACAAUGUUAUCCAGGACACUCUUGCCAAACUUUUCCCCAUUCAUCUUUCUAUCAGAUUCUAUCCCAACUUUACACCAUAACAACUUUUUCCUGUAACAAUUCUGAACCAGCUUUCAAUAAUUUCAGCCAGAUAACAUAUAAAAAAAAAUCUAAAACUGAUUAGGAUAAACCAAAAUAUUAUUGGGAAAAUAAAGCUUCUGUAUAAGUCCA